RNAcentral lists this microRNA precursor (112 nucleotides) under Oryza sativa Indica Group (long-grained rice). Its description in RNAcentral is "osa-MIR1846a". It matches the Rfam family "MIR1846 microRNA precursor family". Lineage: Eukaryota; Viridiplantae; Streptophyta; Magnoliopsida; Poales; Poaceae. The record is from RNAcentral.
CCGCUCCCUACCAAUGAGCCGCCGGAUCUCCCAGUGAGGAGGCCGGGGCCGCUGGAUCCGGUGACCCCGUUCUCCUCGCCGGCGGAUCCGGCACUCCAGAGAAAGGAACGAG